Molecule: ribosomal RNA, 254 nt
Filed under: uncultured bacterium
Lineage: Bacteria
Description: partial 16S ribosomal RNA
Rfam family: Bacterial small subunit ribosomal RNA
Source: RNAcentral
GACGAACCGUGCGAGCGUUAUUCGGAAUCAUUGGGCUUAAAGAGCGCGUAGGCGGCGACGUAAGUUGGAAGUGAAAUCCCAUCGGCUCAACCGUGGAAUCGCUCCCAGUACUGUGUUGCUCGAGGGAGAUAGGGGCCUGUGGAACUGCCGGUGGAGCGGUGAAAUGUGUUGAUAUCGGCGGGAACGCCAGUGGCGAAAGCGACAGGCUGGACCUUUUCUGACGCUGAGGCGCGAAAGCUGGGGGAGCAAACGGG